GCAAUGGACGCAAGUCUGACCCAGCCAUGCCGCGUGCAGGAUGACUGCCCUAUGGGUUGUAAACUGCUUUUGUUUGGGAAGAAACCCCCGAUCGUGAUCGGGGCUGACGGUACCAUACGAAUAAGCAUCGGCUAACUCCGUGCCAGCAGCCGCGGUAAUACGGAGGAUGCAAGCGUUAUCCGGAUUCAUUGGGUUUAAAGGGUGCGCAGGCGGAAUAUUAAGUCAGUGGUGAAAUCCUGCAGCUUAACUGUAGAACUGCCAUUGAUACUGAUAUUCUUGAAUAUAGUUGAGGUAGGCGGAAUGUGUAAUGUAGCGGUGAAAUGCUUAGAUAUUACACAGAACACCAAUUGCGAAGGCAGCUCACUAAACUAAUAUUGACGCUGAGGCACGAAAGCGUGGGUAGCAAACAGGAUUAGAUACCCUGGUAGUCCACGCUGUAAACUAUGAUCACUCGCUGUUGGCAAUACAUCGUCAGCGGCUGAGCGAAAGCAUUAAGUGAUCCACCUGGGGAGUACGGUCGCAAGAUUGAAACUCGAAGGAAUUGACGGGGGCCCGCACAAGCGGAGGAACAUGUGGUUUAAUUCGAUGAUACGCGAGGAACCUUACCUGGGCUUAAAUGCAGAGCGACGUCCGCCGAAAGGUGGAUUCCUUCGGGCGAUCUGCAAGGUGCUGCAUGGUUGUCGUCAGCUCGUGCCGUGAGGUGUCGGGUUAAGUCCCAUAACGAGCGCAACCCUUAUCGUUAGUUGCCAGCGGGUAAUGCCGGGGACUCUAACGAAACUGCCGGUGUAAACCGUGAGGAAGGUGGGGAUGACGUCAAAUCAGCACGGCCCUUAUGUCCAGGGCUACACACGUGUUACAAUGGUCGGUACAGAGGGCAGCUACCACGCGAGUGGAUGCUAAUCUCGAAAACCGGUCUCAGUUCGGAUUGAAGUCUGCAACUCGACUUCAUGAAGCUGGAUUCGCUAGUAAUCGCGCAUCAGCCAUGGCGCGGUGAUACGUUCCCGGGCAUUGUACACACCGCCCGUCAAGCCAUGGAAGCUUGGGGUACCUGAAGUCCGUAACC
RNAcentral lists this ribosomal RNA (1063 nucleotides) under uncultured organism. Its description in RNAcentral is "bacterial SSU rRNA". It matches the Rfam family "Bacterial small subunit ribosomal RNA", at positions 368 to 1435 of the family's 1533-position model. The record is from RNAcentral.